GACGACCCUUUGAGGCGCGCCUAACACAUGCAAGUCGAACGAGCGAGAGAGAGCUUGCUUUCUCGAGCGAGUGGCGAACGGGUGAGUAACGCGUGAGGAACCUGCCUCAAAGAGGGGGACAACAGUUGGAAACGACUGCUAAUACCGCAUAAGCCCACGGGUCGGCAUCGACCAGAGGGAAAAGGAGCAAUCCGCUUUGAGAUGGCCUCGCGUCCGAUUAGCUAGUUGGUGAGGUAAUGGCCCACCAAGGCAACGAUCGGUAGCCGGACUGAGAGGUUGAACGGCCACAUUGGGACUGAGACACGGCCCAGACUCCUACGGGAGGCAGCAGUGGGGAAUAUUGCACAAUGGGGGAAACCCUGAUGCAGCGACGCCGCGUGGAGGAAGAAGGUCUUCGGAUUGUAAACUCCUGUUGUUGAGGAAGAUAAUGACGGUACUCAACAAGGAAGUGACGGCUAACUACGUGCCAGCAGCCGCGGUAAAACGUAGGUCACAAGCGUUGUCCGGAAUUACUGGGUGUAAAGGGAGCGCAGGCGGGAAGACAAGUUGGAAGUGAAAUCUAUGGGCUCAACCCAUAAACUGCUUUCAAAACUGUUUUUCUUGAGUAGUGCAGAGGUAGGCGGAAUUCCCGGUGUAGCGGUGGAAUGCGUAGAUAUCGGGAGGAACACCAGUGGCGAAGGCGGCCUACUGGGCACCAACUGACGCUGAGGCUCGAAAGUGUGGGUAGCAAACAGGAUUAGAUACCCUGGUAGUCCACACCGUAAAACGAUGAUUACUAGGGUGGGGGGAUGACCCCCUUCAGUGCCGCAGUUAACACAAAUAAAGUUAAUCCACCUGGGGAGUACGACCGCAAGGUUGAAACUCAAAGGAAUUGACGGGGGCCCGCACAAGCAGUGGAGUAUGUGGUUUAAUUCGACGCAACGCGAAGAACCUUACCAAGUCUUGACAUCCUGCGACGAUGCUGGAAACAGUAUUUUCCUUCGGGACGCAGAGACAGGUGGUGCAUGGUUGUCGUCAGCUCGUGUCGUGAGAUGUUGGGUUAAGUCCCGCAACGAGCGCAACCCUUACUGUCAGUUACUACGCAAGAGGACUCUGGCAGGACUGCCGUUGACAAAACGGAGGAAGGUGGGGAUGACGUCAAAUCAUCAUGCCCUUUAUGACUUGGGCUACACACGUACUACAAUGGCGUUAAACAAAGAGAAGCAAGACCGCGAGGUGGAGCAAAACUCAGAAACAACGUCCCAGUUCGGACUGCAGGCUGCAACUCGCCUGCACGAAGUCGGAAUUGCUAGUAAUCGUGGAUCAGCAUGCCACGGUGAAUACGUUCCCGGGCCUUGCACA
Molecule: ribosomal RNA, 1341 nt
Filed under: uncultured bacterium
Lineage: Bacteria
Description: bacterial SSU rRNA
Rfam family: Bacterial small subunit ribosomal RNA
Source: RNAcentral